RNAcentral lists this ribosomal RNA (481 nucleotides) under uncultured bacterium. RNAcentral's name for it is "partial 16S ribosomal RNA". It matches the Rfam family "Bacterial small subunit ribosomal RNA", at positions 28 to 507 of the family's 1533-position model. The record is from RNAcentral.
GGCGAACGUUGGCGGCGUGCUUAAUACAUGCAAGUCAACUGAAGCAGUGGUAGCAAUAUCGCUGUGGAGGUGGCGCACGGGUGAGUAACACGUAGGUAAUCUGCCUUCAGGUCUGGCAUAACUCCGGGAAACCGGGGCUAAUAGCAGAUGAUGCAGCGGCUCGACAUCGAGACAGUUGUUAAAGCUAUGGCGCCUGAAGAUGAGCCUGCGUCUGAUUAGCUAGUUGGCGGGGUAACGGCCCACCAAGGCAACGAUCAGUAGCUGGUCUGAGAGGAUGAUCAGCCACACUGGAACUGAGACACGGUCCAGACUCCUACGGGAGGCAGCAGUAAGGAAUAUUGCUCAAUGGGAGAAAUCCUGAAGCAGCAACGCCGCGUGAGGGACGAAGGGCUUUUGCUUGCAAACCUCUGUAGUGAGAGAAAAAAAUCCCAAUCUUUGGGACAUGAUGGUAUCUCAAAAGUAAGCCCCGGCUAACUACGUG